GUGGUUCAGUGGUAGAAUGCUCGCCUGCCACGCGGGCGGCCCGGGUUCGAUUCCCGCGAUGCA
RNAcentral lists this transfer RNA (63 nucleotides) under Cordylochernes scorpioides. RNAcentral describes it as "tRNA-Gly". It matches the Rfam family "tRNA", at positions 7 to 64 of the family's 71-position model. From Rfam's summary of the family: Transfer RNA (tRNA) molecules are approximately 80 nucleotides in length. The record is from RNAcentral. Lineage: Eukaryota; Metazoa; Arthropoda; Arachnida; Pseudoscorpiones; Chernetidae.